RNAcentral lists this ribosomal RNA (253 nucleotides) under uncultured Rikenellaceae bacterium. RNAcentral describes it as "partial 16S ribosomal RNA". It matches the Rfam family "Bacterial small subunit ribosomal RNA", at positions 524 to 776 of the family's 1533-position model. Lineage: Bacteria; Pseudomonadati; Bacteroidota; Bacteroidia; Bacteroidales; Rikenellaceae. The record is from RNAcentral.
UACGGAGGAUUCAAGCGUUAUCCGGAUUUAUUGGGUUUAAAGGGUGCGUAGGCGGUCGGAUAAGUUAGAGGUGAAAUCCCGAGGCUCAACUUCGGAAUUGCCUCUGAUACUGUUCGGCUAGAGAGUAGUUGCGGUAGGCGGAAUGUAUGGUGUAGCGGUGAAAUGCUUAGAUAUCACGAAGAACCCCGAUUGCGAAGGCAGCCUGCCGCAGCGUUACUGACGCUGAAGCUCGAAAGCGCGGGUAUCGAACAGG